CCGCUGUGGCUUUUAGCACCUUCAGCUAAUCAAAGCUUCCUCGGCGAUCUCCCUCUUACCUUUGAUGUGCCUUUAAUCUGAGACGGACGGGCUGCGGGAUUAGCCCAUCAGCUAACGUUAGUGUUUACUCGCCAUCCCUGCGGUCCGAUCGACGGCGGCGCCGGCCGAAGAGCGGCAGGACUUGAUGUAAAGGAGCCAUCGAUCAGAGUCUGGUUGCAUCACGUGUGAGGCCGCUAACGGCCGCAGCGUCUGCAUCCUCACGCCAUCGCAGCGACCCGCUCGCUCACCCCCCCCCCCCCGCCCCCCCACCCCCCCCCACACACACACACACGCCUUACAUCAUCUCAACGCUGGUCCCAGACCAGCUGCUGAGCGGCGGCGGCCCGGUUGCACGUCCUUCCACAAGGUUCUGGUGGCAGAGCGGGGGCCCGGUGGCCCCGUCCCGGACCAAAAAGGGCCUGAGCAGAAUCAAGAGUCAGCAAACCUGACGGGGAAUUACGUCCCUGCAUCCGUUUCGGAGCGGGAAUGUUGUCGGAAGCAGAGGCUGCGUUGUUCCCUCCCCCCAAAAGAUUAAAAUAAAUAAAGAUGGAAUCGGGGAAUGAGAAUUUAACUUUCUGGGCGAUAACGGGAACGUCGAGCUCUUCCCGCUCCGUAAUCAAUAACCGGGGAGGCGGAGGAGGAAACGCUGAGAUUGAGGACGUGUGCGUGAGGACGCCGAUGUGCCCGCCAGCAGAACCCGCCGAGCGUUGCCUGGAGAUAAGUUGGUGUAAUCUUGGCUCGUAUCCAGGCGGGGAUCUGUGCCGGGAUUAUAAAGACAAAGCAUCCGGCAGAAUACAGGAAAAGUGGGCAGAAAGGGCUCCGGAAUACUGGCAAACAUCAAAUACUCCAGAGUCCCACAAGGCUGGAUCCUGCCGUGGUCAUAGUCUUAUUAAAUUUAAAAUUUAAAAAAAAAGCUUGAAAUGUAUUACUGACAUCACACCUGCGCUAACGCUAAUGCUAGCAGUUUCGGCUCUAUUAGUAAAUGAAUUGUGGGUGGUACCGAAUGGUUCAUCCCAGCUCGUUGAAGGCUGCUCUAAUGAGAGCGGUAACAGGUGUGAUGGGAGGAGGGAAGUUCUUAAUCGCCCAGAUCCGCCGCUGCUUUAUUACACCCUUCAGUCAUCAAUCUCCCUUAUCAGUGUGUCCUGGCUAUUUUUCACCGACAAACUGAUUUCCUCAACAGGAGCCAAUAAAUUAUUCUCAAUCCUGAAAGGGAAGUAAAAGGGAAGAAAAACAUAUCUCGUGGACGUCGCCUUGCAUCUCC
RNAcentral lists this long non-coding RNA (1300 nucleotides) under Takifugu rubripes (torafugu). Its description in RNAcentral is "lncRNA (ENSTRUG00000029670.1)". Lineage: Eukaryota; Metazoa; Chordata; Actinopteri; Tetraodontiformes; Tetraodontidae. The record is from RNAcentral.